This 317-nucleotide ribosomal RNA is filed under the name Klebsiella pneumoniae. RNAcentral describes it as "bacterial SSU rRNA". It matches the Rfam family "Bacterial small subunit ribosomal RNA", at positions 1 to 312 of the family's 1533-position model. The record is from RNAcentral. Lineage: Bacteria; Pseudomonadati; Pseudomonadota; Gammaproteobacteria; Enterobacterales; Enterobacteriaceae.
ACUUAAAUUGAAGAGUUUGAUCAUGGCUCAGAUUGAACGCUGGCGGCAGGCCUAACACAUGCAAGUCGAGCGGUAGCACAGAGAGCUUGCUCUCGGGUGACGAGCGGCGGACGGGUGAGUAAUGUCUGGGAAACUGCCUGAUGGAGGGGGAUAACUACUGGAAACGGUAGCUAAUACCGCAUAACGUCGCAAGACCAAAGUGGGGGACCUUCGGGCCUCAUGCCAUCAGAUGUGCCCAGAUGGGAUUAGCUAGUAGGUGGGGUAACGGCUCACCUAGGCGACGAUCCCUAGCUGGUCUGAGAGGAUGACCAGCCACA